RNAcentral lists this ribosomal RNA (274 nucleotides) under uncultured bacterium. RNAcentral describes it as "partial 16S ribosomal RNA". It matches the Rfam family "Bacterial small subunit ribosomal RNA", at positions 170 to 459 of the family's 1533-position model. The record is from RNAcentral.
CGGAUAAGUCUUUACAGAGAAAGCUUUAUGCACCAUUGGAUGAGCCUGCACUUGAUUAGUUUGUUGGUGGGGUAAUGGCCUACCAAGACUGUGAUCAAUAGCUGAUUUGAGAGGAUGAUCAGCCACAUUGGGACUGAGACACGGCCCAAACUCCUACGGGAGGCAGCAGUGGGGAAUCUUGCACAAUGGAGGAAACUCUGAUGCAGCGAUGCCGCGUGAGUGAAGAAGGCCCUUGGGUUGUAAAGCUCUUUCGUCGGGGAAGAAAAUGACUGUA